GACUGUUUUAAUCUGUGACCUCCUAGCUCCUAGCACAGUGACUCUCACAUGAGAAAUGCUCAGUAAACUUCCUGAAAGAAAGAAUGGGUUUCCCCUUUCCCAGCCUCUCGUGGACCAGCGUUGCCAGCUGAAGGAAGGUUGUGAAUCUGCAUCCCAGCCCAUUAGUCCUUCUCCUGAUUCCCGUGAUGAGUUCACCAGU
This 199-nucleotide long non-coding RNA is filed under the name Sus scrofa (pig). RNAcentral's name for it is "lncRNA (ENSSSCG00000051508.2)". The record is from RNAcentral. Lineage: Eukaryota; Metazoa; Chordata; Mammalia; Artiodactyla; Suidae.